Molecule: long non-coding RNA, 200 nt
Filed under: Gossypium barbadense (sea-island cotton)
Lineage: Eukaryota; Viridiplantae; Streptophyta; Magnoliopsida; Malvales; Malvaceae
Description: long non-coding RNA (GBAR_LNC000336)
Source: RNAcentral
AUUGAUCAACACUAUAUAUUGGACUGAGCUAAUACAAUGAAUUAUGAACUCAAUAAAAGACUCAUCAAAUCCUAAUUUCGUCAUCAUACCUUUAAUAAAAGGCCAUUCCACAUGAUCAUACGACUUACUCAUGUCCAAUUUAAGAGCUAUAUAACCCCUUUUCCCAAUUCUUCUAUUCUUUAAAUAAUGGAAAACCUCAU